This is a long non-coding RNA of Octopus bimaculoides (California two-spot octopus), 831 nucleotides long. Lineage: Eukaryota; Metazoa; Mollusca; Cephalopoda; Octopoda; Octopodidae. The record is from RefSeq and is a predicted model, not a curated record.
GUAACGAAAUAUAGAAAACCUCUUGACAGAAAAAAAGAAUUGAAAAAAGUGAUAUAUAAGAUACUACAAAAAGAAUUAUAGAACAAUAGCUAAAGAGGGAUAAAAAUAAUAUAAAAUCUUCCAACCCUAAAGUUUACGAAAAAAAAAAGGUAUUUCAGUUUGUCUACACAAUUCGACGAUAUUAAAGUAAAAAAAAAACGCGAAAACAAAACAAACAACAUUAAAGAACAAAAGCAGCAACAACAACAAUAAAAAAAUAACAGAGCGACGUUAUUCACCUCUCUGGAUGCACACACAUAUUUCGUCAAACCUGGAAUUACGAAGGGUGCUGUAAGGCAAACAUUCAAAUGUAUUCAACUUAAGCAAAAAGAUAUUCAAGCACUCUUCUAAAGUAUUGUACUGAUGGAACAUUCUUAAAAGAUUCAUGGACAUUUCCACUGGAUUCAUAUCAUUUCGGUUUUCAAUUGGAUUUACCGGUAAGACAUUCUCCUUGUAUUGAUAUUUGUUGUCUCAACAAAGGCUUCAACAGGAAACCAUUGUUCUAAUUGUAUGUAAGCACAGAGAUCUUUUUUAACAUUUUCGCAUGUGUAAAAAUAUGUUAAUAUUGGAAUAUAUAUAAAAAAGAACAUGAAAAAAAAACUAGAUACUUAUAUUAACCUGAUAUUAAUUUCUUAAUGUGUUUUUCACUGUAUACAUGCUUAUGUGGGGGUUGCAGUUGGAUUAUACACAAGGAAAACUCGUAUAUAUGUCGUAUAUAUGUCGCAUAUACAGAGAUUGGACAAUAUAAUGGAAACACCUUAAAAUUUCAAACAAAUUUAUUUUAAUAUGGGA